GGUUACUGCUAUCGAGGUUCGACUAAGCCAUGCGAGUCGAAUGUAGCAAUACAUGGCGAACUGCUCAGUAACACGUGGACAACCUGCCCUUAGGUUGGGUAUAAACCCGGGAAACUGGGUAUAAUACCCGAUAGGUCUCGAUUGCUGGAAUGCAUCGAGAUUUAAAGCUCCGGCGCCUAAGGAUGGGUCUGCGGCCUAUCAGGUAGUAGUGGGUGUAGCGUACCUACUAGCCUACGACGGGUACGGGUUGUGAGAGCAAGAGCCCGGAGAUGGAUUCUGAGACACGAAUCCAGGCCCUACGGGGUGCAGCAGGCGCGAAAACUUUACAAUGCUGGCAACAGCGAUAAGGGAACCUCGAGUGCCAGGUUACAAAUCUGGCUGUCGAGAUGCCUAAAAAGCAUUUCAUAGCAAGGGCCGGGCAAGACCGGUGCCAGCCGCCGCGGUAACACCGGCGGCUCGAGUGGUAACCGUUAUUAUUGGGUCUAAAGGGUCUGUAGCCGGCCGGAUAAGUCUCUUGAGAAAUCUGGCAGCUUAACUGUCAGGCUUUCAGGAGAUACUGUCUGGCUCGAGGCCGGGAGAGGUGAGAGGUACUUCAGGGGUAGGGGGUGAAAUCUUGUAAUCCUUGAAGGACCACCAGUGGCGAAAGGCGUCUCACCAGAACGGA
This 664-nucleotide ribosomal RNA is filed under the name archaeon enrichment culture clone A21H74. Its description in RNAcentral is "bacterial SSU rRNA". It matches the Rfam family "Archaeal small subunit ribosomal RNA", at positions 21 to 689 of the family's 1478-position model. The record is from RNAcentral.